Molecule: ribosomal RNA, 369 nt
Filed under: uncultured bacterium
Lineage: Bacteria
Description: bacterial SSU rRNA
Rfam family: Bacterial small subunit ribosomal RNA
Source: RNAcentral
GAACCGUGCAAACGUUAUUCGGAAUCACUGGGCUUAAAGGGCGCGUAGGCGGGUGAUCAAGUCAAUGGUGAAAUCCUCCAGCUUAACUGGAGAAGUGCCUUUGAUACUGAUUGUCUAGAGGGAGGUAGGGGCAUGUGGAACUUCAGGUGGAGCGGUGAAAUGCGUAGAUAUCUGAAGGAACGCCAGUGGCGAAAGCGAUGUGCUGGACCUCUUCUGACGCUGAGGCGCGAAAGCUAGGGGAUCAAACGGGAUUAGAUACCCCGGUAGUCCUAGCCCUAAACUAUGGGUACUAGAUUGUGGACUUUCAUGGGUUCACAGUCGAAGCAAAAGUGUUAAGUACCCCGCCUGGGGAGUAUGGUCGCAAGGCUG